Cucurbita maxima (winter squash) is the source of this 148-nucleotide long non-coding RNA. RefSeq lists it as uncharacterized. The record is from RefSeq and is a predicted model, not a curated record. The transcript has 3 exons. NCBI's taxonomy places the organism in Eukaryota, Viridiplantae, Streptophyta, Magnoliopsida, Cucurbitales, Cucurbitaceae.
ACAAAACUCUCCAAGAAUUGAGACGUGGGUCAGACUCGAGAUAGGGCAUGGAUCAAACGUCUAGCAUAACUUAAAUAAAGUGGAACAAAAUAUGAUAGAAUCUUGAAGCUAACAAAGAACAGAAAUAAGGGAAAAACAAAGGAAUGCC